RNAcentral lists this ribosomal RNA (506 nucleotides) under Plateumaris roscida. RNAcentral's name for it is "partial 16S ribosomal RNA". The stretch from base 380 to 506 matches the Rfam family "Bacterial large subunit ribosomal RNA", at positions 2473 to 2600 of the family's 2925-position model. The record is from RNAcentral. Lineage: Eukaryota; Metazoa; Arthropoda; Insecta; Coleoptera; Chrysomelidae.
GGCUUAUUGAUAAAGGAUUUUAGGUCUAGCCUGCCCCCUGAGGUAUUUAAAUGGCCGCAGUAUUUUGACUGUGCUAAGGUAGCAUAAUAAUUAGUUUUUUAAUUGAAAGCUGGAAUGAAUGGUAUUAUGAAAAAAUUACUGUCUCUUUUAAAAAAUUAAAAUUUUAUUUUUAAGUUAAAAAGCUUAAAUAUUAUUAAAAGACGAGAAGACCCUAUAGAAUUUUAUUUAAAUUAAUUUUUAAUAAAUUAGUAUACAAAAUUUAAAAAUAAAUUUAUAUUUAGUUGGGGUGAUUAGAAAAAUUAAGGAUCUUUUUUUUAUAUUAACAUUAAUUUAUGAUUUUAUGAUUCACAUUAGUGAUUUAAGAAUAAAUUACCUUAGGGAUAACAGCGUAAUUUUUUUUUAGAGUUCUAAUCAAAAAAAAAGAUUGCGACCUCGAUGUUGGAUUAAAAUUUAUUUUUGGUGUAGUAGCUAAAAUAUUAAGUCUGUUCGACUUUAAAAAUUUUACA